Molecule: unclassified non-coding RNA, 239 nt
Filed under: Leotiomycetes sp.
Lineage: Eukaryota; Fungi; Ascomycota; Leotiomycetes
Description: partial contains 5.8S ribosomal RNA, internal transcribed spacer 2, and large subunit ribosomal RNA
Source: RNAcentral
CGCACAUUGCGCCCCUUGGUAUUCCGGGGGGCAUGCCUGUUCGAGCGUCAUUUCAACCCUCAAGCUAAGCUUGGUCUUGGGCACUGCCGGUUACGGCUUGCCUUAAAAGCAGUGGCGGUGCCAUUCGAGCUCUACGCGUAGUAAAAUCUCUCGCGAUUGAGUCUUGGUGGUUGCUUGCCAGCAACUCUUACAUUUCUAUGGUUGACCUCGGAUCAGGUAGGGAUACCCGCUGAACUUAA